CAGCAGCCACGGUAAAACGUAGGGCGCAAGCGUUGUCCGGAAUUAUUGGGCGUAAAGAGCUCGUAGGCGGUCUGUCGCGUCUGGUGUGAAAUCCCGAGGCUCAACCUCGGGCUUGCAUCGGGUACGGGCAGACUAGAGUGCGGUAGGGGAGACUGGAAUUCCUGGUGUAGCGGUGGAAUGCGCAGAUAUCAGGAGGAACACCGAUGGCGAAGGCAGGUCUCUGGGCCGCAACUGACGCUGAGGAGCGAAAGCAUGGGGAGCGAACAGGAUUAGAUACCCCAGUAGUCCCUGUCUCUUAUAC
RNAcentral lists this ribosomal RNA (301 nucleotides) under uncultured bacterium. Its description in RNAcentral is "partial 16S ribosomal RNA". It matches the Rfam family "Bacterial small subunit ribosomal RNA", at positions 509 to 807 of the family's 1533-position model. The record is from RNAcentral.